CCUACGGGGGGCAGCAGUGGGGGAUAUUGCACAAUGGGGGAAACCCUGAUGCAGCGACGCCGCGUGGGUGAAGAAGCGCCUCGGCGCGUAAAGCCCUGUCAGCAGGGAAGAAAAUGACGGUACCUGAAGAAGAAGCCCCGGCUAACUAAGUGCCAGCAGCCGCGGUAAUACGUAGGGGGCAAGCGUUAUCCGGAUUUACUGGGUGUAAAGGGGGCGCAGACGGCGAUGCAAGCCAGGAGUGAAAGCCCGGGGCCCAACCCCGGGACUGCUCAUGGAACUGCGUGGCUAGAGUGCAGGAGGGGCAAGCGGAAUUCCUGGUGUAGCAGUGAAAUGCGUAGAUAUCAGGAGGAACACCGGUGGCGAAGGCGGCCUGCUGGACUGCAACUGACGUUGAGGCCCGAAGGCGUGGGGAGCAAACGGGAUUAGAUACCCCUGUAGUC
Molecule: ribosomal RNA, 440 nt
Filed under: uncultured bacterium
Lineage: Bacteria
Description: partial 16S ribosomal RNA
Rfam family: Bacterial small subunit ribosomal RNA
Source: RNAcentral